ACAAAAGUGACCCUUUGUCCAGGUCGCACCAGGACACCUGCGGGCGUGGUGUGAGGGACCCACAGGUCCUAGCUCCUGAACAGGGCCCACAGAGCCUGGCCCUAGUUCGUUGGCUCCAGGCUGCAGGCGCCGGUCAGAUCUUCAUCUCCAGCCUUUCAAGCACCUGAUGCCCUCAUGGAUAAAAAGGAGGCCCCAGUGCAGUGGACUCACUCCCGAAGCCACAGAAUCACUUUGUAGAGGGACACAGUCUGAGGCAAAGUAGUGGUCUGAACUAGGGCGUGGUCAGGACACCAGGCUACUUCGCGUCCUUGCCCACCCUAGUUCCCUCGGGACCACCCCUAGUCUCAGGACAGCGGGUACCCAGACCGCGGGGUUGCUGGCCGCGGCGCCCCCUGCUGGCCGACAACUGUUGGGAGGUCGAAGCUCCAGCUCAGUUUGCAAACCCUCUGGCCCAGAUGCUUUGUGCAGAUGUUCCACCCUUCCUUGUGGAGCUCGGGAUCCGCGGAAAAGGCAACUUUAAGGAGAUUAUGGUAUGGAGGCCAGGUUGGAGAGAGCUGCAGGCUUAGGCUCGAGGGCCUGAGGCAGGAGGUGGUUCGGAAGGCCAAGGGCUAUGGGGGCUUGGCCCAGCCACAGAAUGGACAUGGUUACAGUGGCCGCGAGGUUGUUCAGGAUGUGCUAGAGUACUGCGUCCCAGAAUAUUCUCAAGAACAAGAGCAGAGUACCCUAUUCUUUCAGACAGCUGACUUAUUUUUAAAGCAAAUUCUUCCUAAUCUAAUACUCUGAGUCACUUUAAACAGUGCAGAGAACUGAAUAGAAACCUAAUAAAAUCUGCAAAAAGGUA
Long non-coding RNA from Peromyscus eremicus (cactus mouse), 841 nucleotides. RefSeq lists it as uncharacterized. The record is from RefSeq and is a predicted model, not a curated record. The transcript has 3 exons. Lineage: Eukaryota; Metazoa; Chordata; Mammalia; Rodentia; Cricetidae.